RNAcentral lists this ribosomal RNA (486 nucleotides) under uncultured bacterium. RNAcentral's name for it is "partial 16S ribosomal RNA". It matches the Rfam family "Bacterial small subunit ribosomal RNA", at positions 28 to 507 of the family's 1533-position model. The record is from RNAcentral.
GAUGAACGCUGGCGGCGUGCCUAAUACAUGCAAGUCGAACGCUGGAAAUCUAGCUUGCUAGAUUGAAGGAGUGGCGAACGGGUGAGUAAUACAUAAGCAACCUACCCACGAAGACUGGGAUAAUCUCUGGAAACGGGGACUAAUACCGGAUAGGUAAUCGGAAGGCAUCUUCUGAUUAUUAAAGGUUAAAAACACUGGUGGAUGGGCUUAUGGCGCAUUAGUUAGUUGGUGAGGUAACGGCCCACCAAGACGAUGAUGCGUAGCCGGCCUGAGAGGGUGAACGGCCACAUUGGGACUGAGACACGGCCCAGACUCCUACGGGAGGCAGCAGUAGGGAAUUUUCGGCAAUGGGGGAAACCCUGACCGAGCAACGCCGCGUGAGUGAUGACGGCCUUCGGGUUGUAAAGCUCUGUUGUAAGGGAGGAACGGUAGAUAGAGAAUAUCUAAAUGACGGUACCUUACCAGAAAGCCACGGCUAACUACGUG